CUGGACUCAAUGCUUUACAUGCAUUAUUAUUUCAUUUAAUCCUCUCCACAACCUGAGAUAAUCAUCCCAGUCUACAGAGAGGAAACUGAGGCUUAGAGACUCAAAGUAAAUUGCCUGAGAUUAGAGUAAAUAGAAGCUGAAAUUCAACCCCAUGUGUAUCUGACAAAAGAGUUCAUGCUGCUAACAUUAGGAUCUGAUGCAUUAUCGAGAGUAGAGGAUGCGUACCAGUCAGGAAGGGCUACAUGUUACUGUGGGUAACAAACAGUCCCAAAGUUGCAGUGGAUUAUAACAAGGACGGUGUCUUUCUUGCUCACACCACUUGUCUACCAUAGCUUUCCCGGAGCCUUUGCUCCACAUCCCCUCAUCCUGGGACCAGGAUAAAGGAGCAGCCACCAUGUAGGUACCUCCCAGAGCACUAGAAGAGAUGGAUAGAAGGGGUGGCCUGUCUCAAUGACUCCCACCUUUUCUGUUAAAUGUGGCACACUUCACUCCUUCUCAUAUCUCACUGGUCAAAGUACAUCAAAGGGCUGCAUCCAACUUCAGGAGGUCAGAGGAGAAUCUGACAUAAAUGGUGAACCCCAUUAAGGCCCCCACAUGGCACCAGCCUGUCUGGGGGACUGUGAGAGGGCAAAGGAGGAGAGCUGAGGGUUGACAGAAAAUGACGGGGGGACUUAGUCAGAAUGUGUUUGCUUUAUCCUCAACCAGGUGGAGUUUGUCUCAGAGCUGCCCAAAACCAUCACUGGCAAGAUAAAAAGAAGUGAACUCCGGAAGAAGGAGUUUGGUCAGAUGUAAUUGGCAGUAAACUCAGAAACCACUGUGUGAUGUUGGCCAAAUGCCUGGCGGCCUCAGGUUCCUCACGAUGGUGAGGGUGAGGAGAGGAACGCUGAGAGAGUUGACUUGAAAGAGAGCCAGGAGUGUCAACAUUCCAGCAUUUUUGUUCUUUUAAAUUAAUAUCAAUCACUAUCCUUCCUCCAAGUUCCCUGUUCCUUUCAGAUUGCCCAGCUGAGCGCUCAGAAUGGGGCUGAAGCAAAUUAAAUACUGACUCAGCAUCCACAGUGAGUCUGUUGUGCAUUUAUUCUGGGAAAGAUCCAGUGCUAAAUGCUGUCCCUCGUAAUUCCCCCAACCCCCAUCAGAGUCUGCCCCAGGGCCUGAUUCUCCCUCCUGCUUCCAGAGACUCUGUGACCCAGUCGAUGACCAGGACAUAGAGGUCUAGGAGGAACAGUCCAUGUGGCCCCCGGGGUCUGCUCCUGCCUGGCUUGCCUCUGCCCAACUGGGGGUGAGGCGGGAGGCAGGGCAAGUGUGGUGUCUGGGAAAUGGAGAAGAGGGGAGGGCAGCCCAGCCUGGUGACAACACUUGCCUGCCACACCAUCCCUCACCUGCACCCUCCAGUGGACCCACUGCCUCUCGUCCCACCAAUAAUGCUGCUGCUGUUGCUGCUUGCAGGUCCCAGCCUGGACCAGUGCAGAGCCCUCUGACCCCCCUGGCCUGUGGUCCUGUGAACUAACCCUUCACUCCAUCCAUCCUUCCGGCCUGAGAUGGAACCACCAGAGGCUGGAAGGAGCAGAGGAAGAAGAGGCUGAGCCUGGGGGUGAGAGAAGCGCAUAUUGUCUCCUUCUCACCCAUUCCUGGGGGGUCACCGAGAGAGAGAUCCCCUCUGCAGCUGCCCUCUUCUGAGGUGCACAGAUACACACACUCACAGGGUAAUACACAGACAUUACAAACACAGAGACGCACAGGUAAAGAAUCACCCCCAGCCUCACCUGGGGACUCAGGUGUUGGGCUCAUGGGCAGCUCACACACAAACCAACACAGGCAAGGACACCCUGGGGGGAACACACACACAUACACAAGUACACAUACUCAGGGCCAUGUGAGACAGCCCCACAGGGCAGACCCACACACACCCAAGUAGGCGCACACACGCACACACACUCACACACAGACAUGUAGGCAGAGACAUAGACACAGAACACAGCCACAUACACACAGGCACAAAAAGAAGACAAACACACAGAUACAAUCAGGAACACCCAAAGGGACAGCAACUUCACACACAGCACAGUCACAUAUAAAACACAGACACAACUCCACGGACCCAUAUGCCCUGAGACACAGACACACACACGGAUUUGCACAACCAACGUACAUUCAUUCAGUGACAAAGGUGCAAACACAAAUGCAUACCGAUAAAACCAGAGAGACACUCAAUGUCUCAGUGCUGUGCAGUGGGAAAUUCACAUUCACAAUCGAGAUGCUCACAGACACAGAAACUCAGACACACAGGUUCAUACAUGCAGACUUAUACAACCAGUCACACACACACACAUACUCCCAGACAGUUCUGGCACUCCAGUGGAUACCUCCACAGGCAGUCGGGAUGAAUAGACCCUGGCAUUGAGGUAGAAGGUAGACGGGCUCCAGGCUGAGCAGCUGGAGCUUGUCUCCUGCUGACAUUUCAAGGAAAAGAUAAAGGCAGGAGCAGAGAGAAGCUCAGCUCUGCCUAAGUAAAAAGAUAAGACUACCAUAUUUUUCAUUCUUGAGGUCAAGGAGACCUCCUGGACUACACAUGCACAAAACGGUUCCUCAGGGGUCAGAAAAUGGAGGGGGCGCUAGCCCAUAAUAUGUCCUGCCAACCUCUCAGAGACUCUCACACUGGAAUCUAUCUUGGCUAAAAGAUGCCUGUGCACAUUGGGUAGGACCCUGAGUCAGACCAAAUAUGGGCACAAAGCAAGAUGAAUCAAGGUGAUUGGCUAGAGGGAACCCGGAGAACUGCAGCCGUAUAAGCAAUUCAAGCCACCCCAAAAGCAUGACUCUCUCUCUCUGAGCCCAUCCGUGUGUCUUUCCGCAUGUACUUUUCUUCUAAUAAACGCUUUAUCUGCUUCA
Delphinapterus leucas (beluga whale) is the source of this 2883-nucleotide non-coding RNA. The record is from RefSeq and is a predicted model, not a curated record. NCBI's taxonomy places the organism in Eukaryota, Metazoa, Chordata, Mammalia, Artiodactyla, Monodontidae.